UGAGGAAUAUUGGUCAAUGGACGAGAGUCUGAACCAGCCAAGUAGCGUGCAGGAUGACGGCCCUCCGGGUUGUAAACUGCUUUUAGUUGGGAAUAAAAAGGUGACGUGUCAUCUAUUGUAUGUACCAUCAGAAAAAGGACCGGCUAAUUCCGUGCCAGCAGCCGCGGUAAUACGGAAGGUCCAGGCGUUAUCCGGAUUUAUUGGGUUUAAAGGGAGCGUAGGCGGAGAGAUAAGUCAGCGGUGAAAGUCAGUGGCUCAACCAUUGAAUUGCCGUUGAAACUGGUUGGCUUGAGUACGUACGGGGCAGGCGGAAUGCGUGGUGUAGCGGUGAAAUGCAUAGAUAUCACGCAGAACCCCGAUCGCGAAGGCAGCCUGCCAGGCCGUGACUGACACUGAUGCACGAAAGCGUGGGUAUCGAACAGGAUUAGAUACCCUGGUAGU
RNAcentral lists this ribosomal RNA (441 nucleotides) under uncultured Parabacteroides sp. RNAcentral describes it as "bacterial SSU rRNA". It matches the Rfam family "Bacterial small subunit ribosomal RNA", at positions 355 to 794 of the family's 1533-position model. Lineage: Bacteria; Pseudomonadati; Bacteroidota; Bacteroidia; Bacteroidales; Tannerellaceae. The record is from RNAcentral.